RNAcentral lists this non-coding RNA (27 nucleotides) under Homo sapiens (human). The record is from RNAcentral. Lineage: Eukaryota; Metazoa; Chordata; Mammalia; Primates; Hominidae.
GGCUGGAGUGCCGGGGUGUGAUCUCGG